This is a long non-coding RNA of Vidua macroura (Pin-tailed whydah), 903 nucleotides long. RefSeq lists it as uncharacterized. The transcript is spliced from 4 exons. The record is from RefSeq and is a predicted model, not a curated record. Lineage: Eukaryota; Metazoa; Chordata; Aves; Passeriformes; Viduidae.
GGCAGGGCCGCACCGCCCCGGGGCGGAGCCGGCGGCGCUGCCGUGCCCGCCACUUUGCCCGUGUCCGCGCCAGGGAGCCUGUCCUGGGAAACCCAGGAUGCUGUUCUGGCGGCCGGUAGGGCCAGGGUGAUAUCCUGGGCUGCAUCCAGCACAACCUGUGGCCAGCGGGUCGAGGGAGGUGAUCCUGCCCCACCGCUCGGCCCGGGAAAGCAGAAUAAUAUGCAAAACCAAGAUGAAACAUGUUUCAGGUCUACAUUACAAUUCAAAUAGAAAAGACAUGUGACACAGUUUAACAAAGAUCUGCUUAGCUGAAAAAUCCAAUUAAAACCUGAAUUGUCCUUCGGCUGUGCCUGGCACGCUGCCAUUUCAGCAGUCCAGCGCCGUGGCAAUAAAGUGGAAGAAGAAUAAACGAAACGUGCUCCUUGUGCGGUGACACUUGGGGACAGCGUGGCGAGCGCUGCCUUUUGCCCCUGAGGAUGGUUGGGCUUGGCACUGCCGGCCGCCUCCCGGGACAAAAGGGAUCGGCCGAGCAGGAGCACCGCCCGAAAGGUGGAAUUGAACCACUCUGUCGCUAGACAGCUACAGGUUUGAAGCCUGCACCCCAGACCACUGAGGGUCAUCCGGGCAAUUUCAAGCCGCCGUGGGACACGCUAUAUGAAGUCCCCCAUAUCUUUCACCUCAAGAACUGCCUGUCUCGGAGUCACAGGGAUGGAUGUGGUUAGAGCAGACAGAGCCAUCAAGACAUGUGCUUAUCUAUCAAUCGUACCAGCUGUUUCUGGCAUGCAGCAACUGACUGACCACAGUAAGGAAACGAGGAUGUAAUCAGUUAGCAGAGCUCUCCUUUCUCAGCAAGGACGAUAAGGAUUGUUGGCAAACCCACAGAGAGUUACGGGAAUAGAGGAA